CAAUGCCCUGUCAUGUCCUCUAGUAGACUGAAAAUUGAAUUAUCAUGUGUUAGCUUAUUCUGGAAUUUAAACUUGGCUGGUUUCUUUGACUAUUCUAAUCUCUCCUGUCCUGACCUUGGCUUGUCAUACCAUCAUGUUGUCUCUCUACACCCCCUGACCUCGGCCUAUUCUUGACUAUUCUUGUUAUUAUUAUUAAAGUGAAGUCCAGCCAUUUCAGGACACUUUGUCAAUCCUGACAUUAACAAUAAAUAUCCAAUCUUGAAAAAGCUUGAGCUGCCCCAAGGAAGAAAUUAAAUGUUUCACUAAUCAGGCAUUGUUCCC
Molecule: non-coding RNA, 321 nt
Organism: Pelobates cultripes (western spadefoot toad)
Lineage: Eukaryota; Metazoa; Chordata; Amphibia; Anura; Pelobatidae
Source: the annotation of a GenBank genome assembly